Molecule: long non-coding RNA, 202 nt
Organism: Copidosoma floridanum
Lineage: Eukaryota; Metazoa; Arthropoda; Insecta; Hymenoptera; Encyrtidae
Gene: kek5
Source: RefSeq, a predicted model, not a curated record
AGAUCACAAGGACCUUUAAAAUAAAUUUCCAAAAAUCAGUAGUAGAUUCGGUAGACAUCGCAUAGCUAUUGCACUGUGCAGUUUUGAAUAAGGUGCACCAUCAUACAACUACUGGACGAUAAAAGGCUUCUUAAAAAUAUAACUACAUAUUGGACGGUCGUGCCAAAUCUGGGCGAUCUCAAAGCUGUUGACCAGCCCCUGG